Molecule: ribosomal RNA, 555 nt
Filed under: uncultured bacterium
Lineage: Bacteria
Description: bacterial SSU rRNA
Rfam family: Bacterial small subunit ribosomal RNA
Source: RNAcentral
UAGGGAAUCUUCGGCAAUGGACGGAAGUCUGACCGAGCAACGCCGCGUGAGUGAAGAAGGUUUUCGGAUCGUAAAGCUCUGUUGUAAGAGAAGAACGAGUGUGAGAGUGGAAAGUUCACACUGUGACGGUAUCUUACCAGAAAGGGACGGCUAACUACGUGCCAGCAGCCGCGGUAAUACGUAGGUCCCGAAGCGUUGCCCGGAUUUAUUGGGCGUAAAGCGAGCGCAGGCGGUUAGAUAAGUCUGAAGUUAAAGGCUGUGGCUUAACCAUAGUAGGCUUUGGAAACUGCUUAACUUGAGUGCAAGAGGGGAGAGUGGAAAUUCCUUUUNAACCGGUGAAAUGCGAAAAUAUAUGGAGAACACACCGGGGGCGAAAGCGCGCUUCUCUGGCUUGUAACUGACGCUGAGGCUCGAAAGCGUGGGGAGCAAACAGGAUUAGAUACCCUGGUAGUCCACGCUGUAAACGAUGAGUGCUAGGUGUUAGACCCUUUCCGGGGUUUAGUGCCGUAGCUAACGCAUUAAGCACUCCGCCUGGGGAGUACGACCGCAAGGUUG